AGAAUUCAAAAUUUGAAAUGUUCAAAUACUGUUCCUUUGAAAACAAUUCAUAAAACCCAAUCAUACAUUCAUAAUGGCAUCAUCCACCAAUAUAUUCAAAAAUAGAUUAACAAAUAAUUCUUAAUAUUUCACACCAAGUAUUCAUAUAUACAUGAUUAGACCUUGACCAUCAGCGGAGUGACUCUGGGCACGGUUGCUAACAUUUAAUGUCAUGGUAAACCUACCGAGUAAUGGAUAAGGAGGAAUACCUCGUUCUAGGAUCCAAUCACCAUUGACUCAGAAACCUAAAACAUGAAUUUUUAAAAACGUGAGCACAAACUUAGUGAGUGAACAUAGGAAGGGAACAAGCAACAUUAAGGAAUGUUUAGAAAUCACGAUGCACUUAUUUGAAAACGAUGCACUUUAGCUUAAGUCCUUAUUAAAACCCUCAAUUGAACCCUUGGUUGAAAAAUCAUGUGACGAUAGAGAAUUCAUAUUCAACAUGAAAUUGGAGAAAUGGAAAAUAUGGUAAAAACCGGCCAAAUGAUAAGCGGAACAGAAAGUUUCAUUCUUGCUGUAGCGAGAAACAGAGCAACAAGAAAUACUUCCUUUCAUCCCAAAUAAACCAUUUCACUAUAAUGCAAAUCAAUUUGGAACAUUAAAAAAAUACUCAAGGUUCAGCAAGUAGGACUCCAUAUACAUUAUAGUCACAUAUGUUAUUCAUAAAAUCUUUAUUGCAUUAAUACAUGUGAACAUAUCCAAACAUAUAUGUAUAUAUAUGUAUACAUCCACCGCCUCCCCAGCUCAUGUGCAUCCCCCCACAUUGUGCACAUCUAAUGCUGUCAUGUACAUCCCCCAACAUCGCGUACACGGGCAAUAUCAUCAUUUGCCUACCUCACCACUAUCAUUACCGGUAUGUGCAUCCCCCCACAUCGUGCACACACACGGUUAUAUCCAUUACACAAUAUUAUCUACCAAUGUACUAUACAUACAUAUAUAUAUCAACAUUAUACUGAAACAUAUGGAUUCAUCACACUAUCCAUUUCACAACAUAAAAACAUUUCAUAAGGGCUUGUUCCCAGGCUUUUUUUUUUUUGAAGAGAAUUGGAUAAAUCAUUCAAAAUAUUUGUCCAAAUACAUUCACAUCUCCAAAAGAGUUUUGAAAUGCAAGUUCACUCACCUGGCAACAACGAGAUAUUAAGUCACUAUUUGUUUGGAGGUGUCUCUAACUAUUUUCACUAGCUGGUCGCUCGUUAUUUACUUCGGCACGCCAUCACAGUUCUCUAACCUUAUCUUUGCACUUCCAAGCAAUAAUACGAACUCAAUAUUUUUAAUUACAUACGUAUACGGGUAGCACUUCAAUCAAGUAAUCCUUACUCAAAUUUAUAUUUUUCAUCCUAUCAUGAAACCAUCUUCAAUUAACUCACAUCUUAAUACAUUUUUAUCAAAAUUACUUAUAUCCAUUGCUUACGAAAUUCCUUAGAUUAUAUCACCGGCAACUUAUUUAUGAUGUCACAUGCCUACUUCAACCUUUCUAAAUAAUUUUUGUCCAAAUCCAUCGUAUAUUUCCACACAUAAUCCACAUAUAUGGCAGCAACAAUCAUUCUCACUUUCACUCGAUUAUUUCCUAGUUUACAUGCAUCAUUAUCUCUCUAACUUUUAAUACUUUGUUUCUCAAUCUUCCAUCCACACUAUUCCUUUUUCAUUUCUUUCAAACAACAUGCCAUACAAUCUUAAUAAUUUUCAACUAGCUUCGGCAAAUAAAUCCUUUCAAUAACCAUAAUUCCUCACGAUACUCAACUAACCGUAGGCUUUAAAACAUAGUGUUAAGCUUACCGUUUUCCUUUUUCACUUUGAGUCCUUCAUGUACCCAUGGGUUUAUUGGCUUACAUGUUACCAAUUUUUCUCCAAUCAAGCCAAUCUUUGCUGCCACAAGACAUUUCUCUAAGUCACUAACUUAUUUUCAAAGACUACUCAAGCCAAAAAUAAGAAUUCUUAUCGUUCCUUGCUUGAAUCACCAAAACUAAGCUUUUUCUUCCUUUCUCUCUUUUUUCUUUCUUCUCCUCCUAGGGUUUAGAUGUGCUGGAAAUUGGGGCUAAAGGCUGAAAAUUUAGUGCUCAAGAAGUUUGGAGAAGAAAGGGAAAGAAAACAUGGAAAGGAAAGUGAAGAAAACUUGAUUUCAUGGUGGAUAAAGAGAAAAUGGCAUGGAAACUUCAAGAAUGGCGUGGAGCAUGGAUGAAGAAGAAGAAAA
This 2230-nucleotide long non-coding RNA is filed under the name Theobroma cacao (cacao). Its description in RNAcentral is "long non-coding RNA (TCAC_LNC002469)". Lineage: Eukaryota; Viridiplantae; Streptophyta; Magnoliopsida; Malvales; Malvaceae. The record is from RNAcentral.